UGGAUUUGAGAGUUUCAAGACUAACAGGUGCUUUACUUGUUGCCUUUUGGUUGGAUUGUACGUGAGUUAUCUCUUGGAGUGAACUAUUAAAGAAUUCCCUCGACAUCUCCACAAGCAAUCAAGUGGCAUGGUACUUCACCUUGUGUCAAGGGUCACAUUUAUUUUAUUGAAAUUGAAUUGUAUUUUCCCUCGACAUCUCCACAAGCAAUCCAGUGGCAUGGUACUUCACCUUGUGUCAAGGGUCACAUUUAUUUUAUUGAAAUUGAAUUGUAUUUAUCUGUACACUUUCAUUGGGAAGAAUUGAUCAGGCAGGACAUGACGCGACUUAGGAUUACUGAGGACAUGGCCCUUGACAGGGAAUUCUCGAGGUCGAGCAUUAAGGUUGUAGGUUAGGGGAAGUUGUGAAUAUUUUUACAGAGCACUAGUGUGAGACUAGCCCGUUAGCUACUGAUACCUUGGAUAUUAGUAUACCUUCCAUCCUUUUCGUAUUUUCUAUAUUUCUUAUAUUGUUGUUAUUUUAUUAUUUUAUGUUAUAUUUUACAUUUUAUGUUAUUUUAGUAUGAGUCUACUGAUAGUACUAAUAUAUCGUCUCUUGUUGCUUUCUUGAGCCGAGGGUCUCCUAGAAACAACCUCUCUGCCCCUCGGGGUAGGGGUAGGGGUAAGGUCUGCGUGCAUAUUACCCUCUGCAGACUCCACUUGUGCGAUUAUACUGGGCUGUUGUUGUUGUACACUUUCAUUGAUCACAUUUAACGUGGACUUAAGAUCUUGUUGUUAGUCGUUAGUUAACUGUUCUCGGUUUCUUUAUCUGUCUGCUAUUUAUGGAAGCUUAAGGACACACAGUCUAGUAUCUUGUUACAUUUUGGUAACUCCAGAGCAUCUGAAAUUUUUUACAUCUCAAAGCUGAUUAGUUUUGGAUAUGCUUUUGUAUAAUGCAUCAUAUUUGUGGAUUAUGUCUGCA
This 958-nucleotide long non-coding RNA is filed under the name Nicotiana benthamiana. RNAcentral's name for it is "long non-coding RNA (NBEN_LNC007035)". Lineage: Eukaryota; Viridiplantae; Streptophyta; Magnoliopsida; Solanales; Solanaceae. The record is from RNAcentral.